GUAGGGAAUAUUGGGCAAUGGAUGCAAGUCUGACCCAGCCAUCCCGCGUGCCGGAAGAAGGCCCUCAGGGUUGUAAACGGCUUUUGACGGUGAAGAAUCGACAGGAUGCGUCCUGUUUUGACGGUAGCCGUUGAAUAAGCACCGGCUAACUCCGUGCCAGCAGCCGCGGUAAUACGGAGGGUGCGAGCGUUGUCCGGAUUUAUUGGGUUUAAAGGGUGCGUAGGCUGGUAGGUCAGUCAGCGGUGAAAAGCUGUCGCUUAACGAUAGUCUUGCCGCAGAUACUUCCUUUCUUGGAUGAGGAGGAGGCCACUGGAACGGAUGGUGUAGCGGUGAAAUGCAUAGAUAUCAUCCAGAACACCGAUUGCGAAGGCAGGUGGCUGUACCUUAAUCGACGCUGAUGCACGAAAGCAUGGGGAGCAAACAGGAUUAGAUACCCUAGUAGUCC
RNAcentral lists this ribosomal RNA (445 nucleotides) under uncultured bacterium. RNAcentral describes it as "partial 16S ribosomal RNA". It matches the Rfam family "Bacterial small subunit ribosomal RNA", at positions 354 to 796 of the family's 1533-position model. The record is from RNAcentral.